GCGUUCGUGUCUCCCGUCAGGGCGUCCUGGUCGCUGCUGAAGUCCUUGGAGAAGAUG
Molecule: small RNA, 57 nt
Filed under: Chloropicon laureae
Lineage: Eukaryota; Viridiplantae; Chlorophyta; Chloropicophyceae; Chloropicales; Chloropicaceae
Description: partial Cyanobacteria transfer-messenger RNA
Source: RNAcentral